GAUGAACGCUAGCGGGAGGCCUAACACAUGCAAGCCGAGCGGUAUUUGUCUUUCGGGACAGAGAGAGCGGCGUACGGGUGCGGAACACGUGUGCAACCUGCCUUUAUCAGGGGGAUAGCCUUUCGAAAGGAAGAUUAAUACCCCAUAAUAUAACUGAUGGCAUCAUUAGAUAUUGAAAACUCCGGUGGAUAGAGAUGGGCACGCGCAAGAUUAGAUAGUUGGUGAGGUAACGGCUCACCAAGUCAGUGAUCUUUAGGGGGCCUGAGAGGGUGAUCCCCCACACUGGUACUGAGACACGGACCAGACUCCUACGGGAGGCAGCAGUGAGGAAUAUUGGACAAUGGGUGCGAGCCUGAUCCAGCCAUCCCGCGUGAAGGACGACGGUUCUAUGGAUUGUAAACUUCUUUUAUACUGGGAUAAACCUACUCUCGUGAGGGUAGCUGAAGGUACAGUAUGAAUAAGCACCGGCUAACUCCGUGCCAGCAGCCGCCGCGG
RNAcentral lists this ribosomal RNA (495 nucleotides) under uncultured bacterium. RNAcentral describes it as "partial 16S ribosomal RNA". It matches the Rfam family "Bacterial small subunit ribosomal RNA", at positions 28 to 523 of the family's 1533-position model. The record is from RNAcentral.